Molecule: long non-coding RNA, 2816 nt
Organism: Gallus gallus (chicken)
Lineage: Eukaryota; Metazoa; Chordata; Aves; Galliformes; Phasianidae
Source: Ensembl
GUGCUGUAAGGGGAACCAUAAAGUAGUCCACACCUUCACAGUUUUUUAAGUGAAAGAUAACAGAUUACACUUCAAAGUAGUAGAAAUUUAAAUGUGGAUUCUGGUUUUUAAUGGUUUUUUGUUUGGUUUUUUUUUAAUUACUUAUCCAGUUAUUUAAUUUUUCCCUUCAGCCAUGAAGCCUCCACAUCUUUAAGAACCUGAGAAAGAGCAUCUUUAAGCUAGACAGACGUUAGCCUUGAAACUGAGGUGACAAAAAGGUGUUCCAUGCUCCUUCACAUCCUUUUUCAGUCAGAAACCAAUAGACUACCAAUACUGUACAUGCAUACAUGAACAGGAAGUUUAUGCAUGUGUUUGCAUGCAUACUUUUGUACACACAGAAUUUCAAAUAACUUUACAAAGUUGUUGCCAACAAAAGGAAAUGCGGCUUUAUGCUUCAUAGUGCAGUCUAGAAGCAACCUGAAUGUGUCUUAUAAAGAAGUACGUCAUAAUGCUGAAAGAUUCAUGUCAUACAAAAAAAAAAUAUUCAUAGGAGACUUAACUGUUCAACAGAUGUCACUAAUCUUUUAUUAGUUAGAAGCACUAGAACUUUUUCUUGUGAUGUUUCUAAAAUCAGCCAGAACCAGUUGUAUUUGGUGUUUUGUACAGAACAAUUAUAAACAUCUCAGCCUACUUUUUUCAUUGGCAAGUUAUAUAACACACAAGUUAUUUAAUUCAGAUCUAGGGGUAUUUAAUUUUUUUCUAUUGUUUAGCUGCAACUAUGAAUUAUGCCCAAUUUUUCUCAAUUUUUUCCCAGAAGUAAGUAGUAAAUGAAAUGCUGCCGUAAGUAUUAAUAUUGUGCAUCUGCUCAUACUGGGUUGUGUUCCCACAAAGGCUGUGUGUGGAUGUUAAUCAAGCAUGUGCUUCAAUACUGCAGUAAGUGCUUAUAGGUGAUCCUGAUUUUGUAUGCGUUAUGUGCCAGGAUUCUGCUAGUGAUAGUAGCAGCAAUUUAAUCUUUUGUCAGUGGGAUUAUGAUUGCCUCCCUCUCUCCUUCCAGGUAGAAGGAGUGAUAGGAGUUGCUGCUGCUGUUGAACAAUUAUGAAACCACCAAAGUGAGAAUAUUCUCUUCUUUGCUGGCGUUGGAGUGCAGUCCAUUUACUAAAACUUACGGAGAAAGAUUUUGGUUUAGAACCAGGGGCUAAGCUCAAGAGUUGAAUAACCCACGACAGGGACUUUAAUAAACUUAAGCAGGAUUAUUAAACAGGCAUGUGAAAGACUUUUUAGGACACUGGAAUAAUCUUAGAGGAAAACUAGUAGUGCCUUGGCACAUGAGACUGCACAGCAGGAGAAUGGCUGUAAAAUGCCACUUUAUACUUUCUUGAAGCCAUUGCAGUUUUCUUGCAGGCGAGCGUGAGGAGUUUAAUGUAUAGUCUUCUACCCUUCUGCAGUUCGCUGUCAGGAUUUUAAGCCCUUCUCUUUACAAUCCCUUUUAACUUCACUGUACUUUGUCGACCUCUUUAAAAUCCUUCACUGAAUUUGUAGCAAUGUUUUCUGUGAAACGACUUAGGAGGGAAGGAAUUUAGCAGAGGAAAAACUUAGGUUUGUAAGUCUAAUCACUACUGUUGUCAGUGCACAGCUGUUGGGGCCUAGCUGCUGAGAGAAAAAGGCAGGGCCUUUUGUCCUGAGGUUGAUUGGCUCAGCAGGAUCUCCUUUACAUCAUCGUGGAUUUUUUUUAAUUUCGUGAAUUCCUUCAUUCCAGAGCUCCUACCUGAAAAUUUCCAAGCAAAGGUUCAAAGAGAGAACAUUCAAGAAGCACACAGUUUUGCAGGAGGCUUCAAAAAUGAAUUAAAUUCAUGUGGUGUGCAUUUCGUCAGCUAGUAACUGAGUAGUUUCUCAGAUCAGCAGGUAUAUCAGCAGGAUGAUAACUAUAAAAACUGUAUCAUCUGUAUGUGAGGUCCUGUGAUCGUCAUGAGGGCUCUGCCCCAAGAGCAAAAUAUCAAGUUCUUUUUUUCCCAGCAGUUACAGGCAGGACAAAGGUUGGACCAGCAUCAGAGAUAAAAUAAAGAGAGGCAAAAAGAGUUACUUGAAUUUGGCAUUCUGCAGUAAGCGAUACACAAGAAGGUAAAGAACAUACAUGAUUUUUUUUCUUGUAUGUAGAGAAUCUUGUUAGAUACAGAUGUGAGAGCUGUUUCCAAUCUCUCAUAAUGGUGGAAUUUGUACUUUCAAUAUUGGUAUUUUAAAGGUACUUGUGAAGUGAGUGGGUGGAGACUGUAAGUCAGGAGUGAGCUGCUGUGAAAAUGCCAACUUUCCUAAACACUGAAGGUAUUAAUAUGAGGCAUUCCAGAAGAUAUACGCAUGAGAUAUUUGUGGCUUGUCUCUUAGGUGACUUCAGAAGUCUGCAUCUCCCUACCGUGCCAGUUGUCCUACAUCUGAAAUUUCACAGUAUUUAGAUUUUCAAGUCCAAACGCAAUGAAUUGCAUCUAAAUACUUGAGCUUGUUGUUCAAGAUCACGCACAAAUUAUGUAGUCAAGAUGGGGGAAGAGCCAAAUAUUUUGUCUCACUGUCCUGUACACUAACCUUUCACUGUACUUAGUACUUCUAUUAAUAAUUAUCAAAUGUUCAUCUGUAUUAAAGCAGGUAUUUCCUCACAUUGAAUUCUACCUGGUGAUCUUUUAGGGAGAUAAUAUUUUGUACUGUUAGUACAACUCACAAAAAUGUGAUAUUACUUACUGAAACAAGUUAAUCAUUUAAGAAUAGUAUCUGAAAGAAAUUUUCCUCAUGCUUCUUAGUCUGAAUUGGCAAUAUAAAUAUAUAUAUUUGUUUAUUCUAGAGGAUCUCUA